Molecule: ribosomal RNA, 253 nt
Filed under: uncultured prokaryote
Description: partial 16S ribosomal RNA
Rfam family: Bacterial small subunit ribosomal RNA
Source: RNAcentral
UACGGAGGGGGCUAGCGUUGUUCGGAAUUACUGGGCGUAAAGGGCGCGUAGGCGGAUGUUCAAGUCGGGGGUGAAAUCCCGGGGCUCAACCCCGGAACUGCCUCCGAUACUGGACGUCUGGAGGACGGAAGAGGCGAGUGGAAUGCCGAGUGUAGAGGUGAAAUUCGUAGAUAUUCGGCGGAACACCCGUGGCGAAGGCGGCUCGCUGGUCCGUUUCUGACGCUGAGGCGCGAAAGCGUGGGGAGCAAACAGG